UACGGAGGGGGCUAGCGUUGUUCGGAAUUACUGGGCGUAAAGCGCGCGUAGGCGGACCUGCAAGUCGGGGGUGAAAGCCCGAGGCUCAACCUCGGAACUGCCUUCGAUACUGCGGGUCUCGAGUCCGAGAGAGGUGAGUGGAAGUCCUAGUGUAGAGGUGAAAUUCGUAGAUAUUAGGAAGAACACCAGUGGCGAAGGCGGCUCACUGGCUCGGUACUGACGCUGAGGUGCGAAAGCGUUGGGAGCAAACAGG
This 253-nucleotide ribosomal RNA is filed under the name uncultured bacterium. Its description in RNAcentral is "partial 16S ribosomal RNA". It matches the Rfam family "Bacterial small subunit ribosomal RNA", at positions 524 to 776 of the family's 1533-position model. The record is from RNAcentral.